UGUUCAGCAGUGUUACGUUGGUGAGUUC
This 28-nucleotide non-coding RNA is filed under the name Rattus norvegicus (Norway rat). Lineage: Eukaryota; Metazoa; Chordata; Mammalia; Rodentia; Muridae. The record is from RNAcentral.